RNAcentral lists this ribosomal RNA (253 nucleotides) under uncultured bacterium. RNAcentral's name for it is "partial 16S ribosomal RNA". It matches the Rfam family "Bacterial small subunit ribosomal RNA", at positions 524 to 776 of the family's 1533-position model. The record is from RNAcentral.
AACGUAGGACGCAAGCGUUAUCCGGAGUUACUGGGCGUAAAGCGCGGGCAGGCGGUCGGUCAAGUCUGAUGUGAAAUCUCUCCGCUCAACGGGGAGCAGCCAUUGGAAACUGGGCGACUGGAGUCUGACAGAGGUAGGCGGAAUUCCGGGUGGAGUGGUGAAAUGCGUAGAGAUCCGGAGGAACACCAGAGGCGAAGGCGGCCUACUGGGUCAGUACUGACGCUGAGACGCGAAAGCCAGGGGAGCGAACGGG